UGCGUAGGCGGCCUUACAGGUGGGGUGUGAAAGCCCACGGCUUAACCGUGGAAUUGCGCUCCAAACCGUAAGGCUUGAGGGAGAUAGGGGUGAGCGGAACUGAUGGUGGAGCGGUGAAAUGCGUUGAUAUCAUCAGGAACACCGGUGGCGAAGGCGGCUCACUGGGUCUCUUCUGACGCUGAGGCACGAAAGCUAGGGUAGCGAACG
RNAcentral lists this ribosomal RNA (207 nucleotides) under uncultured bacterium. RNAcentral's name for it is "partial 16S ribosomal RNA". It matches the Rfam family "Bacterial small subunit ribosomal RNA", at positions 568 to 774 of the family's 1533-position model. The record is from RNAcentral.